This 75-nucleotide transfer RNA is filed under the name Cautires sp. UPOL A00081. RNAcentral's name for it is "tRNA-Glu". The record is from RNAcentral. Lineage: Eukaryota; Metazoa; Arthropoda; Insecta; Coleoptera; Lycidae.
AUUUCUUUGUAUUUAUAUAGUUUAAAAAAAAACAUUACAUUUUCAUUGUAAAAUUAGGUACUAAUUAUUUUAUAA